UACGUAGGGUGCGAGCGUUAAUCGGAAUUACUGGGCGUAAAGCGUGCGCAGGCGGUCUGUUAAGACCGAUGUGAAAUCCCCGGGCUUAACCUGGGAAUGGCAUUUGGGACUGCAAGGCUGGAGUGCGGCAGAGGAGACUGGAAUUCCUGGUGUAGCAGUGAAAUGCGUAGAUAUCAGGAGGAAUACCGAUGGCGAAGGCAGGUCUCUGGGCUGACACUGACGCUCAUGCACGAAAGCGUGGGGAGCAAACAGG
RNAcentral lists this ribosomal RNA (253 nucleotides) under uncultured bacterium. Its description in RNAcentral is "partial 16S ribosomal RNA". It matches the Rfam family "Bacterial small subunit ribosomal RNA", at positions 524 to 776 of the family's 1533-position model. The record is from RNAcentral.